CCUACGGGAGGCAGCAGUAGGGAAUCUUCCACAAUGGGCGAAAGCCUGAUGGAGCAACGCCGCGUGGGUGAAGAAGGUCUUCGGAUCGUAAAACCCUGUUGUUAGAGAAGAAAGUGCGUGAGAGUAACUGUUCACGUGUCGACGGUAUCUAACCAGAAAGCCACGGCCAACUACGUGCCAGCAGCCGCGGUAAUACGUAGGUGGCAAGCGUUAUCCGGAUUUAUUGGGCGUAAAGGGAACGCAGGCGGUCUUUUAAGUCUGAUGUGAAAGCUUUCGGCUUAACCGGAGUAGUGCAUUGGAAACUGGGAGACUUGAGUGCAGAAGAGGAGAGUGGAACUCCAUGUGUAGCGGUGAAAUGCGUAGAUAUAUGGAAGAACACCAGUGGCGAACGCGGCUCUCUGGUCUGUAACUGACGCUGAGGUUCGAAAGCGUGGGUAGCAAACAGGAUUAGAUACCCGUGUAGUC
Molecule: ribosomal RNA, 465 nt
Filed under: uncultured bacterium
Lineage: Bacteria
Description: partial 16S ribosomal RNA
Rfam family: Bacterial small subunit ribosomal RNA
Source: RNAcentral